RNAcentral lists this ribosomal RNA (585 nucleotides) under uncultured bacterium. RNAcentral describes it as "partial 16S ribosomal RNA". It matches the Rfam family "Bacterial small subunit ribosomal RNA", at positions 355 to 1375 of the family's 1533-position model. The record is from RNAcentral.
UGGGGAAUUUUGGACAAUGGGCGAAAGCCUGAUCCAGCAAUGCCGCGUGUGUGAAGAAGGCCUUCGGGUUGUAAAGCACUUUUGUCCGGAAAGAAAUCCUUGGCUCUAAUACAGUCGGGGGAUGACGGUACCGGAAGAAUAAGCACCGGCUAACUACGUGCCAGCAGCCGCGGUAAUACGUAGGGUGCAAGCGUUAAUCGGAAUUACUGGGCGUAAAGCGUGCGCAGGCGGUUUGCUAAGACCGAUGUGAAAUCCCCGGGCUCAACCUGGGAACUGCAUUGGUGACUGGCAGGCUAGAGUAUGGCAGAGGGGGGUAGAAUUCCACGUGUAGCAGUGAAAUGCGUAGAGAUGUGGAGGAAUACCGAUGGCGAAGGCAGCCCCCUGGGCCAAUACUGACGCUCAUGCACGAAAGGCGUGGGGAGCAAACAGGAUUAGAUACCCUGGUAGUCCACGCCCUAAACGAUGUCAACUAGUUGUUGGGGAUUCAUUUCCUAGUAACGUAGCUAACGCGUGAAGUUGACCGCCUGGGGAGUACGGUCGCAAGAUUAAAACUCAAAUGAAUUGACGGGGUCAUAGCUGUUUCCU